GCGAGAGAACUCUCGUUAAGGAACUCGGCAAAAUGACCCCGUAACUUCGGGAGAAGGGGUGCUUUUUAGGGUGUUAAAGCCCGGAAAAGCCGCAGUGAAUAGGCCCAGGCGACUGUUUAGCAAAAACACAGGUCUCUGCGAAGCCGCAAGGCGAAGUAUAGGGGCUGACGCCUGCCCGGUGCUGGAAGGUUAAGAGGAGGGGUUAGCUCACGCGAAGCUCUGAAUCGAAGCCCCAGUAAACGGCGGCCGUAACUAUAACGGUCCUAAGGUAGCGAAAUUCCUUGUCGGGUAAGUUCCGACCCGCACGAAAGGCGUAACGAUCUGGGCACUGUCUCAACGAGAGACUCGGUGAAAUUAUAGUACCUGUGAAGAUGCAGGUUACCCGCGACAGGACGGAAAGACCCCGUGGAGCUUUACUGCAGCCUGAUAUUGAAUUUUGGUACAGCUUGUACAGGAUAGGUAGGAGCCUUGGAGACAUGAGCGCCAGCUUGUGUGGAGGCGUCGGUGGGAUACUACCCUGGCUGUAUUGAAAUUCUAACCCGCGCCCCUCAUCGGGGCGGGAGACAGUGUCAGGCGGGCAGUUUGACUGGGGCGGUCGCCUCCUAAAAUGUAACGGAG
Molecule: non-coding RNA, 618 nt
Filed under: Mesobacillus campisalis
Lineage: Bacteria; Bacillati; Bacillota; Bacilli; Caryophanales; Bacillaceae
Description: Bacillus campisalis Bacterial large subunit ribosomal RNA
Rfam family: Bacterial large subunit ribosomal RNA
Source: Rfam by way of RNAcentral